Molecule: long non-coding RNA, 1507 nt
Filed under: Homo sapiens (human)
Lineage: Eukaryota; Metazoa; Chordata; Mammalia; Primates; Hominidae
Description: HSALNT0194062
Source: RNAcentral
CCCUCCCCCAGCCUCGCUGCCGCCUUGCAGUUUGAUCUCAGACUGCUGUGCUAUCAAUCAGUGAGACUCCGUGGGCGUAGGACCCUCCAAGCCAGGUGCCGGAUAUAAUCUCGUGGUGCGCCGUUUUUUAAGCCCGUCGGAAAAGCGCAGUAUUCGGGUGGAAGUGGCCCGAUUUUCCAGGUGCGUCCGUCACCCCUUUCUUUGACUCGGAAAGGGAACUCCCUGACCCCUUGCGCUUCCCAAGUGAGGCAAUGCGUCACCCUGCUUCGGCUCGCGCACGGUGCGUGCACCCACUGACCUGCGACCACUGUCUGGCACUCCCUAGUGAGAUGAACCCUGUACCUCAGAUGGAAAUGCAGAAAUCACCCGUCUUCUGCGUCGCUCAUGCUGGGAGCUGUAGACUGGAGCUGUUCCUAUUCGGCCAUCUUGGCUCUUCCCCCGUUUUACAAUUUAAAGGUAAAGACCUUCACAAUCGGGAACCCGUAGAUUGGAUCUUCUGAAAACAUCAGAGAAAGACUAUCUUUGCCAUCCACACUACAGUAAAACUUUGGAGCCUUGAACCUUGGAUUUAUAAUCUCACAACUGAGAAGGGUCCCUCCAUACUCCUGGAACUGUACACCCAUUGGAACUCUUAAGGAUGAUAUACAUGGCCAGGUGAAGACAGUAGAGAGAAAACAGAACUGAAACGUUGGCAAGCUUGGGCUUGAAGUUUUUGGUGACACAAGACUGGCUUCUACUUCAGGAGACCAACUUCUUUUUCACAUAGCUCCAAUUUUCAGAGGAGGUAAGAAUCAGCAGAAAAGAAGGAAUCUUUGGAGAGCCAAAACCAUCUCUACACCAAAUUGAGAGACUGGAAUUAUAAGGUGAAUGCAAUUAACUGGCAGUCGCAUCCAUGUUGAGAACACAGUCAUCCCUUUAAUAGAGAACAUUUGCUGUGCUUGACAAACUCACAGUGAAAUGGUUGGAUCCAUAGGAAGCAACAUGCUGAAAAUGGUUUCAAUAUGAUCCUGUUUUUUCACUCAAUAGCCAUUGAUUGAGGGUGUCCAGCCAAAAACAAUGAGAAAAUGAGCCAACAAUAGUCUUACCCUUUGACCAUAUUAGAUAAAGUCGCAGCUGAAAUUUGUUAUAUGUUUCAGGAAUAACAAAGCAUCCAUAUGGAACAUAUAUUUGGCAGUGUGGCAGCUGAUGAAACCAGGAAAAUUAGACAAAUUAUCAAUUGCUCGCUCCCAAAUUACCCCAAAAAGAAAUUAGAUCCAUUUUCAGUAGCUUUGCCUUCAAAUUUCUUCAUUCCGUGAGUCACCACUACCUUCUGCCAAACUAAAUAUGUCUAUGAACGGCUGGAAACUUUAAUGGAAAGAAACAUAAAACUCAAACUACGUAGGAAAAUUUAAGCUUCUUCAUGGAAGAUCUUCGUGGAAGACUAGCAAGUUAGGAAUGUGUGAAGACAGACAACACAUCGAUAAUUCCUUUUGUUUGGGGUCACUUCUGAGUUAGAGAGCAAUGCAAC